GAAAUGCGAUAAUUAAUGUGAAUUGCAGAAUUCAGUGAAUCAUCGAGUCUUUGAACGCACAUUGCGCCCCCUGGUAUUCCGGGGGGCAUGCCUGUCCGAGCGUCAUUGCUGCCCUCAAGCACGGCUUGUGUGUUGGGCUUCCGUCCCUGGCAACGGGGACGGGCCCAAAAGGCAGUGGCGGCACCAUGUCUGGUCCUCGAGCGUAUGGGGCUUUGUCACCCGCUCCCGUAGGUCCAGCUGGCAGCUAGCCUCGCAACCAAUCUUUUUAACCAGGUUGACCUCGGAUCAGGUAGGAAUACCCGCUGAACUUAAGC
RNAcentral lists this unclassified non-coding RNA (314 nucleotides) under plant metagenome. RNAcentral's name for it is "partial contains 5.8S ribosomal RNA, internal transcribed spacer 2, and large subunit ribosomal RNA". The stretch from base 1 to 105 matches the Rfam family "5.8S ribosomal RNA", at positions 50 to 154 of the family's 154-position model. The record is from RNAcentral.